UAACUCCGUGCCAGCAGCCGCGGUAAUACGGAGGAUGCGAGCGUUAUCCGGAUUUAUUGGGUUUAAAGGGUGCGUAGGCGGAUCGAUAAGUUAGUGGUGAAAACCUGCAGCUUAACUGUAGACUUGCCGUUGAUACUGUUGGUCUUGAGUAUGGUCAAGGUAGGCGGAAUGUGUAAUGUAGCGGUGAAAUGCUUAGAUAUUACACAGAACACCGAUUGCGAAGGCAGCUUACUGGACCAUCACUGACGCUGAUGCACGAAAGCGUGGGGAUCGAACAGGAUUAGAUACCCUGGUAGUCCACGCCGUAAACGAUGAUCACUCGCUGUUAGCGAUACACAGUUAGCGGCUAAGCAAAAGCAUUAAGUGAUCCACCUGGGGAGUACGGCCGCAAGGCUGAAACUCAAAGGAAUUGACGGGGGCCCGCACAAGCGGAGGAACAUGUGGUUUAAUUCGAUGAUACGCGAGGAACCUUACCUGGGCUUAAAUGUAGAGUGCAUUCUGCCGAAAGGCGGAUUUUCUUCGGAACUCUUUGCAAGGUGCUGCAUGGUUGUCGUCAGCUCGUGCCGUGAGGUGUCGGGUUAAGUCCUAUAACGAGCGCAACCCUUAUCGUUAGUUGCCAGCGGGUAAAGCCGGGAACUCUAGCGAAACUGCCGGUGUAAACCGAGAGGAAGGUGGGGAUGACGUCAAAUCAGCACGGCCCUUAUGUCCAGGGCUACACACGUGUUACAAUGGCCGGUACAGAGGGGAGCUAUGCUGUGAGGCAAUGCGAAUCUCAAAAGCCGGUCUCAGUUCGGAUCGGAGUCUGCAACUCGACUCCGUGAAGCUGGAUUCGCUAGUAAUCGCGCAUCAGCCAUGGCGCGGUGAAUACGUUCCCGGGCCUUGUACACACCGCCCGU
This 896-nucleotide ribosomal RNA is filed under the name uncultured bacterium. Its description in RNAcentral is "bacterial SSU rRNA". It matches the Rfam family "Bacterial small subunit ribosomal RNA", at positions 498 to 1397 of the family's 1533-position model. The record is from RNAcentral.